This is a non-coding RNA of Lacerta agilis (Sand lizard), 75 nucleotides long. Lineage: Eukaryota; Metazoa; Chordata; Lepidosauria; Squamata; Lacertidae. The record is from the annotation of a RefSeq genome assembly.
GCUGGGAUGGCUCAGUCGGUAAAGAGCGUGAGACUCUUAAUCUCAGGGUCAUGGGUUCGAGACCCAUGUUGAGCA